This is a long non-coding RNA of Passer domesticus (house sparrow), 2851 nucleotides long. RefSeq lists it as uncharacterized. The record is from RefSeq and is a predicted model, not a curated record. The transcript is spliced from 2 exons. NCBI's taxonomy places the organism in Eukaryota, Metazoa, Chordata, Aves, Passeriformes, Passeridae.
AGACGGGGGCUGGGUCAGCCUUGUUACCUCUUUGCUGGCCAGAAAGGAAAGAGACCCUCACAGGCUUUCUCAUCUUUAAUGUGUGUCUUCACAGAGCCGUGUACAGCUUCCUUAGUGGUUUAACAGAUUGUCAAUUCUCAAAGCUAAUUACUGAUUGGGUGUUUUUGACAGACAUGGAGGAAACUGCUAGCAGCUUCUUUUCGGACAUCCCUUCCAUGAUGCAAUACCACCACAACAGCACAGAGCACAGAGCUCCUUUGUCCAUAUGUAAUGCUCAUGUGCCCAAGGUUUCAGAACCCCUCCUUGGGAGAUCUCCGGGCCCUCUCCAAGGUGUUUUCAAAUGGAAACAUCCAGCUCAUGGUCUAAGAAAAUCACCAGAGGGCAGGGCCAGCCUGACCUGUCUGUUCUGGUUACUUUUGUCUAGGAGCAAUCUUUGGAUAUACAGAAUUUGGGAGGCCAAAUUCUAAUUUUGGCCAUGGGCCCUGGACAUGAAAAUGGGUUCUUUUCCUAAGGAAUGAAGGAACAUAGCUCCAUUGUUUCAGGGGCAGAUGAGAGCUGACCACCAGAGGCCAAGGCCAGCCAGAGCUGGCAGGUUUUUUUUCUGAGAGAUGCCCUUGCAUAUUGGAAAAUUUUUUAGGGAAAGUAUCAGUUUUGCCAAUGGGCAUCUGAAAAGAGGGAUGGUUCUUUUCAUAGCAAGGAAAGCAUGCAGCUCCAGUGUUCCAGGAGCUGAUGAGAGGCAGCCCUUGACAUCCCAAGAUCAGCCAGACCUAUCAGGUGGCCCCUGGGAGGCCAAGCCAGCCAGACCUGUUCCAUGUUCCCUUGGUUCGAUGGGGCCCUGACGUGUCAUAAUGUCCCCUUGGUGACACGAGGUCAUGAAGGGUGCUCAUGAUCUCCAUGGUUCCAUCAGGUCCCACAGAGUCAUAAUGGUCUCUGGGUUUCAUGAAGCCCCGCUGUGUCACCACAGCCCCUUGGUUCCAUGGGCUCCAGUGGUGCCACAAUGAUCCCCUUGGUUUCGUGAGGUCCCCACAGUGUCCCAGUGAUCUCCAUGGGAAGGAAAGAACCGACCCCCAGUGUUGCAGGGGCAGUCACCAGAGGCCAAGGCUUGAUGGUACUGGCAGAUUUUGCCUGGAAGCAACCCUUGGAUAUACAGAAUUUUAGAGGUGGAAUCCCAGUUUCAGACAUGGACACCUGGGGGAGAAGCACAGUUGUUUUCCAUAGGAAGGAAAGCACAGAACAGAGGUGUUUCCAGGGCAGAUGAAAGGCAGCCAUCAGAGGCCUAGGACAGCCAGACCUCUCUGUCCUGGUAGCUUUUGUCUGAAAGCAACCCUUGGAUAUAGCAAAUUUGGGAGGUGGAAUCCAAAUUUCGGCCAUUUCUGUGUAGAUAAGAAGGAUGGUUCUUUUCCAUGGGAAGGAAAGCACAGAGCCCAAGAGUUUCAAAGGCAGAAGAGGAGAGAGGUGGCUCUCGGGAGGCCAAGCCAGCCAGACAUGUUUGUCCUGGCAGCUUUUGUCAUGGAGGAAUCCUUGGAUAUAUGGAAUUUGGGAGGAAGAAUCUCAAUUUUGUCCACGGGCACCUUGAGAAGAAGGAUGGUACUUUUCCAUUGGAAGGAAAUCACCAACCCAAUGUGUUUGGUAAGCAGGUGAGAGGCAGCCCCCAAGAGGCCAAGGGCAGCCAGACCUGUCUGUCCUGGCAUCUUUCAUUGGGGAAAAAUCCUUGGAUGUAUGGAGCUCUUGAGAUGGAAUCCCAGAUUUGACCAUGGGCACCUGGUCAAGAUGAAUGGGGGUUUUUUUGUACUGGAAAAAAAGUGUGAAGUCCAAGUGUUCUGGAAGAAGAUGAGAUGUGGCCAGUCUUAGGCCAAGCCAGUCAGACCUGUCUCUGCUGGCACCUUUUGUCUAGGGGCUACCCUUGGCCAUAGGGCACUUUGGAUGUGGAAUCUCAAUUUUGGCCGUGGGCACCUGGACAGGAAGAAGAGUUCUUUUCAUUAUGAAGGAAAGCACAAAGCCCCAGUGUUUUAGAGGCAGAUGAGUAGCAGCCCUCAGGAAGCCAAGGCCAGCCACACUUGUCAGUCCUGGCAGCUUUUGUCUGGGAGUUAUCCUUGGAUAUAGGGAAUGCUGGAGGCAGAUGCCCAAUUUUAGCCAUGGGUGCCUGGUCGAGAUGGAUUUUUUUCCCAUAAGAAAAAAAAUCACAUGGUCCCAGUGUUUCAAAGUCAGAUGAGAGGUGGUUCCUGGAUGGCCAAGGCAGCCAGAGCUGUCACUCCUGGCAGAUUUCAUCUGGAAACAAUCUUUGCAUAUAAGGAAAUUUGGAGGAGGAAUCCCAGUUUUGACAAUGGGCCCCUGGAGGACAAGGAGAGUUCUCUACCAUAGGAAGGAAAGCCCAGAGCCCCAGUGCUUCAAGGACAGAUGAGAAAGCAGCCCUCGACAUGCCAAGGGCAGACAUCUGCUGAUAACAGGCUACUGAAUGUCACUGCAUGACUGAUAAGAACUACAGCAUCCCAUUGUGAGAUUCUCCGCCCAGAGGGGAGAACCAAGCAUUCCUACCAGAUAUAAUCUUAAAAAUUCUGGAACACCAACAUGGCUUUCUUCACUGGAUUUCCCAGAGGAACAGCUGCUGCCUCUUCCACUGGAUCUUCAGAGGAAGACUAUACCUUUCUACAGGAUCCCUGCUGCAGCAGAAGCACACCUGACACUCCAGGAGGACUGCAGCCACCAUUCCAAUUGGACUGCUACCAACACCCUGUGCAACAGGGUGUCAGGUUGUGUUCUGAUUCUGUCAGUGUUGUCUUGCUUUACUGCAUUGUUUAUUUUAUCUUUUUAUUUGUUUCCCUAAUAAAGAACUGUUAUUCCUGCUCCCAUA